AUAUUCAAAAUUGGUGAACCUUUGUUCAGAAAUGUGCAUUUGAGAAUGUUCCUGGUCUAGUCAGAGGCAAGGUGCAUCAGGCUGCUUAUCAGAAUCAUCUUCUAUCAUGUUCUCUAAAGCCAGAUCCUGAGGUGUUCCCUUGCCAACAUGGAGGUCUGAUUCCUCUAGCAUGUCCUGGGAUGACCCUCCUGGUGGCAGAUCACGCCUGACACCUCCUCUGGAAGGCAUCCUGACCAAACGUCCGAACCACCUCAGCUGGCUUCUCUCGCUGAGGAGGAGCAGUGGCCCUACGUUGAGUAGAACUGUUACGUUUGAGCAUCGACGUCCCAAAUGUACUUGUGCCAGAUAGUCACAUCAUAAGAGAAAGAAAAAGUGGGAGUUCACUUUUCAAAGUUGUAUUUUCACCAUGUUACUCAUACGUUUAUAAUUAGUCUGCAAGCUAAAUAUUUACUUUAGAGUUAAAUAUUUAUUUUACAAGCUAAAUAUUCAUUUUUGAGUGAAAUAUUUAUUUUAUAAUCUAAAUAUUUACUUUAGAGGGUAGAAAGUUAUUUUACAAGCUAAAUAUUUAUUUUCGAGUGAAACAUUUAUUGUCACGGUCUGAGGUAUUUCCCUGCUGUCACUCCCUGUCUUUUGAGUUUCCCUCUGCAGGUGGGCGUGUCUGGAGGUGACCAAGCUGCAGCAGAUCUGCUCAUCGGCUGGCCAGGGGUAUUUAAGCAGCUGGGAGACUCCUACACUUCGCUGGAUGAUUACUCUACCUGGACAAAACCUCCACACUCAUCUUCGACUGGCAGAACUCUGGAGCCCGCAUCAUCUGAAGCUCCAACCCCGCUCGUCUCUCAGCCUCUCCCCUGGCCAGAACCACCUCCAGCUGCCCACCUAACCCUCCUGGACCUCCCCAAGCUCAGCUCCCUCCACGUCUCACUCCUGGAUCUCAGUCCCUGCUACCCAGACCGGACCACUCCUCCCUCAAACCAGUCCCCACCUCUCCAGACCUUUUCCCGCACCAGCCUCCCUGCGCAAGAACUCAGCUUCGUUACGCUGCUCCCUUGGUUUCCCUUCAAUAAAUCCUUAUUUAAACCUUUUAAAACCGUCUCCGAUCUGAUUCUGUAUGUCGUGGGUUAGAUCACUU
Nothobranchius furzeri (turquoise killifish) is the source of this 1129-nucleotide long non-coding RNA. RefSeq lists it as uncharacterized. The record is from RefSeq and is a predicted model, not a curated record. Lineage: Eukaryota; Metazoa; Chordata; Actinopteri; Cyprinodontiformes; Nothobranchiidae.